GGGAGGGGAAUUAAAAGAAGAAAUUGGGGGGCUUUGGACAGGUUUAGUCGUGGUUAAAGCUACUGAUCUUUCAGCACUUGCUGUGUGCAGUAUUUUCAUGAUUUCAAUUAAUCCUCACAAGUGCGGGCCAGCCGGGGUUAGGACAUGAAGCACCUUGACCUUGGUGAGAAGCAGGGAAUUUGAGCCCUGGCCAUCUGCCUCCAGAGCUGUGAAUCGCUGCUCUGAACCAGGGGGCAGGGAGCUGACUGGGACACUGGCCUCCGUGGGGGUCCUGGUAGCCACCUCAGGGGUUCUUGCCCCAGUCUGGGGGGCCGUGGUUGCUGAGGGAGGUGGAGGCAGAACCAGGGCCAGCAGGGAAGGCCCGGACACCACCACUGCUGGCUCCCUACCGGGCUCCGCGUUCUCUCCUGACUGUCCCCUGCACUAACCUGACCGUGACAAACCCUCCCUGCUCUACCACCACCAGGAUAAAGCCCAGCCCCUUACCUGGUUUUUGGGACCCUGCCUACUAGGCAGUCUGCCCCCUUCUCACCCCCCCCCCCCCCAGCUUCUCCUCAUGCUCUGCUAGGAGAUUCCAUCAAUGUCCAUGUCUAGCCACCUUCCCUUUGCCUCAGUGCCCAGGGCACAGCCUUCCCUGGGCCCGGCCCUGGCUGUCUCACUUGAAAGCAUGUUGGUGGGUCUGUUUCCCCAUCAGCUCAAAGCUGUUCGAGGGCCAGGCUCUCUCACUCAUAGUUGUGCGCUAGGGACCACAUGGUAGGUGCCUGGCAUGGGACUGGGAGGUCCUGGAAUCCUGUUGGGAUUGAUUUCUGUGAUCUUGGACACCUCUACCAUUCCUGGUCACCUCCAGAGUCCCAGUUCCCCAGGAAUGUAAAAGACCCUCAACAACACUCCCCCCCCCACCCCCCCGGCCGUCCCACGCCAAGGUCAAAGGGAAGUGUUGCCCCAGGGUCAGGGCCUGGCAGAUGGCUCUGGCCUGAGGACUGAGGUGGCAGGGACCCCACCUCUUUUAGGUCUGGCAGCUUUCUGAGCACAGUGUCCAUUGAAACCAUGUGUGACAGGCUUCCCGGGAAGACCAGCCUUGAUGCAGAGAGGAGUCGGGUGCCAUGAGUUGACCGAUAAUCCUGUUGGGUGUUAAUGGUGAAGGCCUGGGCUUGCAAGAGGCCCAUGGGCCGAUGUAGAGCUCAAGCGGGGCAGUGUGGAUAGAAGGCAGGUGCAAGCAGUCAGAUGGUGCGAGGUGCUGGGCCUGGAAUCAGGAAUGGCCCCUGGGGCAGGGGGAGCCUGUGAGCUUUCAAGGCAGCACCUGCACUGAGCCUUAGAGAAGGUCUGGGGAGAGACGCAGGCAGCAGCAGCUCCUGGCGAAGGAACAAGCCAGAGCAGGAGUAGGGGAGAUGGAGAAGCCUGGGAACCGCCCCCCAGUCUGUGUUCCGGCUGAAGGAUGGCCGUGCCAAGGACUUCUUUGUCAAGAGCAGAGCUAAAAGGAGACUUCAUCAAAUCACCAAUGUUGGCUCCACCUUGGCAAAUGCGUGGCCUCCUUUUAUUUGGUCUUUCUCAUUCCCAUUUCCUUAUUUCAUCGCAUGUAUCUUUUAUAUAUAACCUUCAAGUUCUUUUUUGGGGUGUUAAAAAUAACCUUUUGGGGGGUGAUGAUGAAAGUGUUCUAAAAUUAGAUUAUGUGAUGGUCCCACAACUUUGUAAACACACUAAAGAUUGUUGAGCUGUUCAGCGCCCUCCCUCCCCCGCCCCCUCCAGCCCAGGAAGGCUCCACGCCUAAGGCGGGAUUGAACUCAGGACCUUGAGAUCAAGACCUGAGCUGAGAGAUCAGAGAUCAAGACCUGAGCUGAGAGAUCAAGAGUCUGAUGCCCAACCUUCUGAGCGACCCAGGCGCCCCAAGAUGCUCACUUUAAAACGGAUUACCUGACUGGCAUGUAAAUCAUCUCAAUAAAGUUAUUUGUAACCAC
Felis catus (domestic cat) is the source of this 1955-nucleotide long non-coding RNA. RefSeq lists it as uncharacterized. Lineage: Eukaryota; Metazoa; Chordata; Mammalia; Carnivora; Felidae. The record is from RefSeq and is a predicted model, not a curated record. The transcript is spliced from 2 exons.